GCGCCCGUAGCUCAAUGGAUAGAGCACUGCCCUCCGAAGGCAGGGGUUGCUGGUUCGAUCCCAGCCGGGCGCG
RNAcentral lists this transfer RNA (73 nucleotides) under Candidatus Paraburkholderia kirkii UZHbot1. Its description in RNAcentral is "Candidatus Burkholderia kirkii UZHbot1 tRNA". It matches the Rfam family "tRNA". From Rfam's summary of the family: Transfer RNA (tRNA) molecules are approximately 80 nucleotides in length. Lineage: Bacteria; Pseudomonadati; Pseudomonadota; Betaproteobacteria; Burkholderiales; Burkholderiaceae. The record is from Rfam by way of RNAcentral.